UGUUGGGUUAAGUCCCGCAACGAGCGCAACCCUUGCCUUUAGUUGCCAUCAUUCAGUUGGGCACUCUAGAGGGACUGCCGGUGUCAAACCGGAGGAAGGUGGGGAUGACGUCAAGUCCUCAUGGCCUUUAUGCCCAGGGCUACACACGUGCUACAAUGGGCGGUACAGAGGGCUGCAAAGCCGCGAGGUAGAGCGAAAUCCCAGAAAACCUGUCUCAGUCCGGAUUGAAGUCUGCAACUCGACUUCAUGAAGGCGGAAUCGCUAGUAACCGCGAAUCAGCAGGUCCGCGGUGAAUACGUUCCCGGGCCUU
Molecule: ribosomal RNA, 310 nt
Filed under: uncultured Anaeromyxobacter sp.
Lineage: Bacteria; Pseudomonadati; Myxococcota; Myxococcia; Myxococcales; Anaeromyxobacteraceae
Description: bacterial SSU rRNA
Rfam family: Bacterial small subunit ribosomal RNA
Source: RNAcentral